Molecule: ribosomal RNA, 460 nt
Filed under: uncultured Desulfobulbus sp.
Lineage: Bacteria; Pseudomonadati; Thermodesulfobacteriota; Desulfobulbia; Desulfobulbales; Desulfobulbaceae
Description: bacterial SSU rRNA
Rfam family: Bacterial small subunit ribosomal RNA
Source: RNAcentral
CAAGCGGUGGAGUAUGUGGUUUAAUUCGAUGCAACGCGAAGAACUUACCUGGUCUUGACAUCCCGGAGACCCUUAGGAACUAGGGGUGCUUCCAUCUGGAAGAAUCUGGAGACAGGUGCUGCAUGGCUGUCGUCAGCUCGUGUCGUGAGAUGUUGGGGUUAAGUCCCGCAACGAGCGCAACCCUUGCCUUUAGUUGCCAGCAGUUCGGCUGGGCACUCUAAAGGGACUGCCGGUGUUAAACCGGAGGAAGGUGGGGAUGACGUCAAGUCCUCAUGGCCUUUAUGACCAGGGCUACACACGUACUACAAUGGCCGAUACAAAGGGCAGCGACACUGCGAGGUGAAGCCAAUCCCGUAAAAUCGGUCUCAGUCCGGAUUGGAGUCUGCAACUCGACUCCAUGAAGUUGGAAUCGCUAGUAAUCGUGGAUCAGCAUGCCACGGUGAAUACGUUCCCGGGCCUU